GACGAACGCUGGCGGCGUGCCUAAUACAUGCAAGUAGAACGCUGAAGAGAGGAGCUUGCUCUUCUUGGAUGAGUUGCGAACGGGUGAGUAACGCGUAGGUAACCUGCCUUGUAGCGGGGGAUAACUAUUGGAAACGAUAGCUAAUACCGCAUAACAAUGGAUGACACAUGUCAUUUAUUUGAAAGGGGCAAUUGCUCCACUACAAGAUGGACCUGCGUUGUAUUAGCUAGUAGGUGAGGUAAUGGCUCACCUAGGCGACGAUACAUAGCCGACCUGAGAGGGUGAUCGGCCACACUGGGACUGGGACACGGCCCAGACUCCUACGGGAGGCAGCAGUAGGGAAUCUUCGGCAAUAGGGGCAACCCUGACCGAGCAACGCCGCGUGAGUGAAGAAGGUUUUCGGAUCGUAAAGCUCUGUUGUAAGUCAAGAACGGGUGUGAGAGUGGAAAGUUCACACUGUGACGGUAGCUUACCAGAAAGGGACGGCUAACUACGUG
RNAcentral lists this ribosomal RNA (497 nucleotides) under uncultured bacterium. RNAcentral describes it as "partial 16S ribosomal RNA". It matches the Rfam family "Bacterial small subunit ribosomal RNA", at positions 28 to 507 of the family's 1533-position model. The record is from RNAcentral.